AAUCUUACUGUUCAAUAACUUUUGACUGCUAGUGUAGAUAUGUAUCAUUGCAUCUUUGUUUUGGAUAAUUAAAAAAAACAUCAGGUCUGACAAUAUCGUGUCUUUUCGAAUUUAAAUCUAGAUUUAUUCGCAUUGGCUCAUGGAAACCUCUAUGAACACACUUGACUUGACUUGGCCAAAAAAUCGCGGUGGACGAAUUUACGUUUUAUUAAAAAGUGUUUGUGUAUUCUGCACUAAUGUCGCGCGCACACAGGAUAGAUGCCUGCCUCCGCUGUGAGUCCGAAUCAAGCACUUCACCGAUUCAACCGCUCUCCUCUCCUCCUCCUCCUGGCUCUUUACGCCGCAUCACUCACAGCAGAGCAAGCCUGUUCUUGAUAAAGCUGCUGUGAAAACGUGGGAAAAGCCGACGAGGAAGAAGUUGGGGUGAAGCGAUCUUUAUAAGCGGAGCAAAACAUUUCAUGACUCCGUCUGUAGCGCAUUGUGAUUGGGUGGUUUACGCUGUCAAUACAGGAGACAAACCAAUGGACCACUGACUGCUCGCAGUCCCAGUGUGAUGGUCCUUGGUAAAAAAAAAAAAAAGUGCCUUGAAGUCAAGCAGGUUUUUAGGAAAAUGUUUGUAUGUAGUGAGUUGGAAUCAGUGUUUUUACUCAUAACCGCUGUAAACUGUGAAUUUGUUUGCUGUUAAAUGUGUGAGUUUAUUAUCUGAAAUAACAGUGUACUGAGCUGUUGCUGAAUGAUUUCUUCUUCAAAGAGGCUUCUUUGGACAUAAUGAUCUGAAGAUUCAUAAUAGAAACCUGUCUGAAUGACUUCUGUUGAUCUCUUUCAUAUUAUAUUACUUUCUGCUUAGUUCAUUUGUAGCUCAUUUUAUCGGUUACUGUCACAUUUUAUAUUAUCGUGUAGUGUCUUGUCUUUACAAGUAAGGUAUGCCUUUGCUUUCAUAAUUGUUGAAUUUAUGCUGGUCAAGGUCUGUGUAUUUAAAACUGGUUUUAUUUUGAUAUUUCAAUUUAUUUUGAAAAACAAUUAAAUUAACUUACAUGAUCUUUAAUAGCCUAUGUUAAUCUGAUGAAUGCCAAUAAAAAUAGGUCCGAUUUUCUCAUAGUGACUGGAAUUUGUGAGUUUGUCAUGAAAGGAUUGAGUUUGUAUACAGACUCCCCAGACAGCACACGUACGUCUGGCCGACGUCGGCCCAAUAUCGAAACGUCGGCCUCACUACCUGAAACAUCUAAUAAACAUCGGCCAGGCGUAGGUCGAUAUAAUUCGGUCAGUGCUCUGUUUUCCAGCUGUUGCGUUGAGCUCUGCGCGAGCGGGGAGCAGAGUUGCCAUGGAAACAGGGCUUUGACACAACUACUGGCGAACAGUAAUCUCGGUCUCGCGCUGCGGUUUCACUGAUUUCAGGAGGACAGAAAGAAACUCUACAUAACAGAAGGGAAGCUCCAAGAUCUCAACAUUUCUGAAGGGAGCUACUGACUUAGAAAUACAGAUUCUUCAGUGGUGAUGGCCUGCUGCACCCAGCAGAGUUGGAGUGAACCUACUGUCAGACAGUGGUGUACCGUGGGGUUUCAGUCAGGGCCUUCAGUAAGCAACUGUAAACUACAUGUACACAUUUUACACAUCUCUGUUACAGCUAACGUAGCCAUAUGCGUAAUGCACAUAUUAUGCCGCACACAGGCUCUCAACAACAGUGACUGCUGAUCAACAAUUUCAACAGUAGGCUAGAUUAGGGUGGGUUAAAUGCAGAGUAAAUUUUCCUACAUCAUGAUCAGUAAAAGUAAUCCGCCAAUACACAAGUCACUAUGCACAUUCACGUCACUCUAAAAUGACAACGUGCCCAAAGCAGCAAAACUGUACAAAUGCUGGACAUCCACACACCACACCACAGUAUUAUCAACGCACCAUGUACACCUCCAUAACAAUGUGCAUGAUACAAUACUCAUCAAAUAAUAAAGCACUCACCUGUCACUUGUAAAUAAAGCCCCUGGGUCUAUCAUUCCAUGCCUCUUU
Onychostoma macrolepis is the source of this 2001-nucleotide long non-coding RNA. RefSeq lists it as uncharacterized. Lineage: Eukaryota; Metazoa; Chordata; Actinopteri; Cypriniformes; Cyprinidae. The record is from RefSeq and is a predicted model, not a curated record. The transcript is spliced from 3 exons.